Molecule: ribosomal RNA, 432 nt
Filed under: uncultured bacterium
Lineage: Bacteria
Description: partial 16S ribosomal RNA
Rfam family: Bacterial small subunit ribosomal RNA
Source: RNAcentral
AACGAACGCUGGCGGCAUGCCUAACACAUGCAAGUCGAACGAGACCUUCGGGUCUAGUGGCGCACGGGUGCGUAACGCGUGGGAAUCUGCCCUUGGGUUCGGAAUAACAGUUGGAAACGACUGCUAAUACCGGAUGAUGACGUAAGUCCAAAGAUUUAUCGCCCAAGGAUGAGCCCGCGUAGGAUUAGCUAGUUGGUGAGGUAAAGGCUCACCAAGGCGACGAUCCUUAGCUGGUCUGAGAGGAUGAUCAGCCACACUGGGACUGAGACACGGCCCAGACUCCUACGGGAGGCAGCAGUGGGGAAUAUUGGACAAUGGGCGAAAGCCUGAUCCAGCAAGGCCGCGUGAGUGAUGAAGGCCUUAGGGUUGUAAAGCUCUUUUACCCGGGAUGAUAAUGACAGUACCGGGAGAAUAAGCUCCGGCUAACUCCGU